Molecule: ribosomal RNA, 253 nt
Filed under: uncultured bacterium
Lineage: Bacteria
Description: partial 16S ribosomal RNA
Rfam family: Bacterial small subunit ribosomal RNA
Source: RNAcentral
UACAGGGGGGGCAAGCGUUGUUCGGAAUUACUGGGCGUAAAGGGCGCGUAGGCGGCCAUCUAAGUCAGACGUGAAAUCCCUCAGCUUAACUGGGGAACUGCGUCUGAUACUGGGGAGCUUGAGUGCAGGAGAGGAACGCGGAAUUCCAGGUGUAGCGGUGAAAUGCGUAGAUAUCUGGAGGAACACCGGUGGCGAAGGCGGCGUUCUGGACUGCAACUGACACUGAUGAACGAAAGCCAGGGGAGCAAACGGG